AUGUUGGAUGAAGGGAAAGAAGGUGAGCAUUCCUCUUGAGAUGGGUGGAAGAGGUCCUAGUGGCCUUUACAACACCUAUACGGUUAAAGCAUUGCCACCUAUUUCGUGGCAUCUAACCAAGUAAUCCC
Tachyglossus aculeatus (Australian echidna) is the source of this 128-nucleotide small nuclear RNA. The record is from RefSeq and is a predicted model, not a curated record. NCBI's taxonomy places the organism in Eukaryota, Metazoa, Chordata, Mammalia, Monotremata, Tachyglossidae.